RNAcentral lists this ribosomal RNA (496 nucleotides) under uncultured bacterium. RNAcentral's name for it is "partial 16S ribosomal RNA". It matches the Rfam family "Bacterial small subunit ribosomal RNA", at positions 29 to 507 of the family's 1533-position model. The record is from RNAcentral.
AUGAACGCUGGCGGCGUGCCUAAUACAUGCAAGUCGAGCGCACAGACGAGGAGCUUGCUCCUCUGACGUUAGCGGCGGACGGGUGAGUAACACGUGGAUAACCUACCUAUAAGACUGGGAUAACUUCGGGAAACCGGAGCUAAUACCGGAUAAUAUAUUGAACCGCAUGGUUCAAUAGUGAAAGACGGUUUUGCUGUCACUUAUAGAUGGAUCCGCGCCGCAUUAGCUAGUUGGUAAGGUAACGGCUUACCAAGGCAACGAUGCGUAGCCGACCUGAGAGGGUGAUCGGCCACACUGGAACUGAGACACGGUCCAGACUCCUACGGGAGGCAGCAGUAGGGAAUCUUCCGCAAUGGGCGAAAGCCUGACGGAGCAACGCCGCGUGAGUGAUGAAGGUCUUCGGAUCGUAAAACUCUGUUAUUAGGGAAGAACAAAUGCGUAAGUAACUAUGCACGUCUUGACGGUACCUAAUCAGAAAGCCACGGCUAACUACGUG